Molecule: long non-coding RNA, 1013 nt
Filed under: Callithrix jacchus (white-tufted-ear marmoset)
Lineage: Eukaryota; Metazoa; Chordata; Mammalia; Primates; Cebidae
Description: lncRNA (ENSCJAG00000082517.1)
Source: RNAcentral
CAUUUUCUAAUUUCCCACGUGGAUAAUUGCUUUGGUCGGGUAUUAUUUAUAAGCAUCAUUUCAUUUCAAAGCAAGUGAGGAUUUUUUAAUGUCUUUUUUUUUUUUUUUUUUUUUUAGACGGAGUUUCGUUCUUGUUACCUAGGCUGGAGUGCAAUGGCGCGAUCUCAGCUCACAGCAACCUCCGCCUCCUGGGUUCAGGCAAUUCUCCUGCCUCAGCCUCCCGAGUAGCUGGGAUUACAGGCAUGCGCCACCAUGCCCAGCUGAUUUUUUUGUAUUUUUAGUAGAGACGGGGUUUCACCACGUUGACCAGGAUGGUCUCGAUCUCUUGACCUUGUGAUCCACCAGCCUCGGCCUCCCAAAGUGCUGGGAUUACAGGCUUGAGCCACCACGCCCGGCCUAAUGUCUUCUUAUUGUUGAUUUUGAAUUUAAUUUUAUUAGAAAUAUACUACACACUCUUUAAGAUUUUAAUCUGUUGACACAAUUUUACAUAUUUUGUGACAUAGUAUGUGAUCUAACUUAGCAUAUCAUAUGGAUAUUAAAAGAUGUUUAUUUUAUGGUCCUUAUAUUUAGGGUCUGAUAUGGUUUGGCUCUAUUUCCACCCAGAUCUCAUGUUGAAUUGCAGUCUCCAGUGUUAGGGGAGGGACCUGGUGGGAGAUGAUUGGAUCAUGGAAGCAGAUCUUUCCCUUGCUGUUCCCAUGAUGAUGUGCUUGUUUUCCCUUCACCUUCCUCCAUGACUGUAAGUUUCUUAAGGCCUUCUCAGCCAUGCUUCCUGUAUGUCCUGGAACACUCUGCCAUGUAAGAAAUGCUUUCACCUCUUGCCGUGAUUCUGAUGCAUCUUCAGCCAUAUGGAACUAUGUUUGUGAAGAAGCCAAAGAAGAAAGGAGGACAGGAGGAGUUGCUAUGGAAAAAGAGGAGAGAAGAGCAGAGAUAAAGAGAAAGAGGUGGAGAAGAAGAAUAAUUCUUCCGAUGGAAUUUGAGAUAUUGGAAAUAUAAAAGAUGAACUAAAAUCUGGG